GGGGCUGAUUCUGGAUUCGACGGGAUUUGCGAAACCCAAGGUGCAUGCCGAGGGGCGGUUGGCCUCGUAAAAAGCCGCAAAAAAAUAGUCGCAAACGACGAAAACUACGCUUUAGCAGCUUAAUAACCUUUAGCAGCUUAAUAACCUGCUCUGAGCCCUCUCUCCCUAGCUUCCGCUCUUAAGACGGGGAUCAAAGAGAGGUCAAACCCAAAAGAGAUCGCGUGGAAGCCCUGCCUGGGGUUGAAGCGUUAAAACUAAUCAGGCUAGUCUGGUAGUGGCGUGUCCGUCCGCAGGUGCCAGGCGAAUGUAAAGACAGACUAAGCAUGUAGUACCGAGGAUGUAGGAAUUUCGGACGCGGGUGUUCAACUCCCGCCAGCUCCACCA
Molecule: transfer-messenger RNA, 384 nt
Filed under: Klebsiella michiganensis
Lineage: Bacteria; Pseudomonadati; Pseudomonadota; Gammaproteobacteria; Enterobacterales; Enterobacteriaceae
Rfam family: transfer-messenger RNA
About the family: Bacterial tmRNA, also known as 10Sa RNA or SsrA, is named for its dual tRNA and mRNA-like properties. Its role is to liberate the mRNA from a stalled ribosome.
Source: RNAcentral